CCUACGGGAGGCAGCAGUGGGGAAUAUUGCACAAUGGGCGCAAGCCUGAUGCAGCCAUGCCGCGUGUAUGAAGAAGGCCUUCGGGUUGUAAAGUACUUUCAGCGGGGAGGAAGGCGAUACGGUUAAUAACCGUGUCGAUUGACGUUACCCGCAGAAGAAGCACCGGCUAACUCCGUGCCAGCAGCCGCGGUAAU
Molecule: ribosomal RNA, 194 nt
Filed under: uncultured Enterobacter sp.
Lineage: Bacteria; Pseudomonadati; Pseudomonadota; Gammaproteobacteria; Enterobacterales; Enterobacteriaceae
Description: partial 16S ribosomal RNA
Rfam family: Bacterial small subunit ribosomal RNA
Source: RNAcentral